GCAGAUAUGGCGGAAUUGGCAGACGCACUAGACUUAGGAUCUAGCGCCAAUGGCGUAAGGGUUCGACUCCCUUUACCUGCACCA
RNAcentral lists this transfer RNA (84 nucleotides) under Clostridium sp. RNAcentral's name for it is "tRNA-Leu". It matches the Rfam family "tRNA". From Rfam's summary of the family: Transfer RNA (tRNA) molecules are approximately 80 nucleotides in length. Their secondary structure includes four short double-helical elements and three loops (D, anti-codon, and T loops). RNAcentral also lists the same sequence under 4 other names. The record is from RNAcentral. Lineage: Bacteria; Bacillati; Bacillota; Clostridia; Eubacteriales; Clostridiaceae.